Myotis lucifugus (little brown bat) is the source of this 52-nucleotide non-coding RNA. Lineage: Eukaryota; Metazoa; Chordata; Mammalia; Chiroptera; Vespertilionidae. The record is from Rfam.
UUUUCAGUAUAAGUGUGUCCCAUGCAAUAGUUGGGACAUAUAUGUACUAAAA